This 492-nucleotide ribosomal RNA is filed under the name uncultured bacterium. RNAcentral's name for it is "partial 16S ribosomal RNA". It matches the Rfam family "Bacterial small subunit ribosomal RNA", at positions 29 to 507 of the family's 1533-position model. The record is from RNAcentral.
AGUGAACGCUGGCGGUAGGCCUAACACAUGCAAGUCGAACGGCAGCACAGUAAGAGCUUGCUCUUACGGGUGGCGAGUGGCGGACGGGUGAGGAAUACAUCGGAAUCUACUUUUUCGUGGGGGAUAACGUAGGGAAACUUACGCUAAUACCGCAUACGACCUACGGGUGAAAGCAGGGGAUCUUCGGACCUUGCGCGAUUGAAUGAGCCGAUGUCGGAUUAGCUAGUUGGCGGGGUAAAGGCCCACCAAGGCGACGAUCCGUAGCUGGUCUGAGAGGAUGAUCAGCCACACUGGAACUGAGACACGGUCCAGACUCCUACGGGAGGCAGCAGUGGGGAAUAUUGGACAAUGGGCGCAAGCCUGAUCCAGCAAUACCGCGUGGGUGAAGAAGGCUUUCGGGUUGUAAAGCCCUGUUGUUGGGAAAGAAAAGCAGCAGGUUAAUACCCCGCUGUUCUGACGGUACCCAAAGAAUAAGCACCGGCUAACUUCGUG